Molecule: ribosomal RNA, 253 nt
Filed under: uncultured bacterium
Lineage: Bacteria
Description: partial 16S ribosomal RNA
Rfam family: Bacterial small subunit ribosomal RNA
Source: RNAcentral
UACGAGGGAUCCUAGCGUUGUUCGGAAUCAUUGGGCGUAAAGGGUGUGUAGGCGGCCUUGUAAGUCAGUUGUGAAAGCCCCGGGCUCAACCCGGGAAGUGCUUCUGAUACUGCUUGGCUUGAGUAUUGGAUAGGGGAGUGGAAUUCCAGGUGUAGUGGUGAAAUACGUAGAUAUCUGGAGGAACACCGGCGGCGAAGGCGGCUCACUGGCCAUAUACUGACGCUGAAACACGAAAGCGUGGGUAGCAAACAGG